This 73-nucleotide transfer RNA is filed under the name Microbacterium phage Cece. Its description in RNAcentral is "tRNA-Asn". It matches the Rfam family "tRNA". From Rfam's summary of the family: Transfer RNA (tRNA) molecules are approximately 80 nucleotides in length. Their secondary structure includes four short double-helical elements and three loops (D, anti-codon, and T loops). The record is from RNAcentral. Lineage: Duplodnaviria; Heunggongvirae; Uroviricota; Caudoviricetes.
UCCCCUGUAGCUCAGUGGCAGAGCGUCCGGCUGUUAACCGGUGUGUCCCUGGUUCGAAUCCAGGUGGGGGAGC